GCAGGUUUACCAAUCUGGUGAAUGGACCGUUCUCAUAAAACGGCGAAGGUGGGUUCAAUUCCCACAACCUGCA
RNAcentral lists this transfer RNA (73 nucleotides) under Synechococcus phage S-SKS1. It matches the Rfam family "tRNA". From Rfam's summary of the family: Transfer RNA (tRNA) molecules are approximately 80 nucleotides in length. Their secondary structure includes four short double-helical elements and three loops (D, anti-codon, and T loops). Lineage: Duplodnaviria; Heunggongvirae; Uroviricota; Caudoviricetes. The record is from Rfam by way of RNAcentral.